Molecule: ribosomal RNA, 497 nt
Filed under: uncultured bacterium
Lineage: Bacteria
Description: partial 16S ribosomal RNA
Rfam family: Bacterial small subunit ribosomal RNA
Source: RNAcentral
GAUGAACGCUGGCGGCGUGCCUAAUACAUGCAAGUCGAGCGAACGGACGGGAAGCUUGCUUCUCUGAUGUUAGCGGCGGAGGGGUGAGUAACACGUGGAUAACCUACCUAUAAGACUGGGAUAACUUCGGGAAACCGUAGCUAAUACCGGAUAAUAUUUUGAACCGCAUGGUUCAAAAGUGAAAGACGGUCUUGCUGUCACUUAUAGAUGGAUCCGCGCUGCAUUAGCUAGUUGGUAAGGUAACGGCUUACCAAGGCAACGAUGCAUAGCCGACCUGAGAGGGUGAUCGGCCACACUGGAACUGAGACACGGUCCAGACUCCUACGGGAGGCAGCAGUAGGGAAUCUUCCGCAAUGGGCGAAAGCCUGACGGAGCAACGCCGCGUGAGUGAUGAAGGUCUUCGGAUCGUAAAACUCUGUUAUUAGGGAAGAACAUAUGUGUAAGUAACUGUGCACAUCUUGACGGUACCUAAUCAGAAAGCCACGGCUAACUACGUG